RNAcentral lists this ribosomal RNA (484 nucleotides) under uncultured bacterium. RNAcentral describes it as "partial 16S ribosomal RNA". It matches the Rfam family "Bacterial small subunit ribosomal RNA", at positions 28 to 523 of the family's 1533-position model. The record is from RNAcentral.
GACGAACGCUGGCGGCGUGCUUAACACAUGCAAGUCGAACGAUGAACCCGGAGCUUGCUCCGGUGGAUUAGUGGCGAACGGGUGAGUAACACGUGAGUAACCUGCCCUUGACUCUGGGAUAACUGCGGGAAACUGUAGCUAAUACCGGAUACGACCCUCGGCGGCAUCGCCAGGGGGUGGUAAGAAUUUCGGUCAAGGAUGGACUCGCGGCCUAUCAGCUAGCUGGUGAGGUAACGGCUCACCAAGGCGACGACGGGUAGCCGGCCUGCGAGGGGGACCGGCCACACUGGGACUGAGACACGGCCCAGACUCCUACGGGAGGCAGCAGUGGGGAAUAUUGCACAAUGGGCGCAAGCCUGAUGCAGCAACGUCGCGUGAGGGAUGACGGCCUUCGGGUUGUAAACCUCUUUUAGUAGGGAAGAAGCGAAAGUGACGGUACCUGCAGAAAAAGCACCGGCUAACUACGUGCCAGCCGCCGCCGUAA